Molecule: ribosomal RNA, 147 nt
Filed under: Ochrophyta sp.
Lineage: Eukaryota
Description: partial small subunit ribosomal RNA
Rfam family: Eukaryotic small subunit ribosomal RNA
Source: RNAcentral
AGUUGGUGGAGUGAUUUGUCUGGUUAAUUCCGUUAACGAACGAGACCCCUGCCUGCUAAAUAGCAAACAUAGUGUUUAUCACUGUGUAUUGCUUCUUAGAGGGACGUGCGUUCUAUUAGACGCAGGAAGAUAGGGGCAAUAACAGGU